GACGAACGCUGGCGGCGUGCUUAACACAUGCAAGUCGAACGGAAAGGCCCUGCUUUUGUGGGGUGCUCGAGUGGCGAACGGGUGAGUAACACGUGAGUAACCUGCCCUUGACUUUGGGAUAACUUCAGGAAACUGGGGCUAAUACCGGAUAGGAGCUCCUGCUGCAUGGUGGGGGUUGGAAAGUUUCGGCGGUUGGGGAUGGACUCGCGGCUUAUCAGCUUGUUGGUGGGGUAGUGGCUUACCAAGGCUUUGACGGGUAGCCGGCCUGAGAGGGUGACCGGCCACAUUGGGACUGAGAUACGGCCCAGACUCCCACGGGAGGCAGCGGUGGGGAAUAUUGCACAAUGGGCGGAAGCCUGAUGCAGCAACGCCGCGUGCGGGAUGACGGCCUUCGGGUUGUAAACCGCUUUCGCCUGUGACGAAGCGUGAGUGACGGUAAUGGGUAAAGAAGCACCGGCUAACUACGUG
This 468-nucleotide ribosomal RNA is filed under the name uncultured bacterium. RNAcentral's name for it is "partial 16S ribosomal RNA". It matches the Rfam family "Bacterial small subunit ribosomal RNA", at positions 28 to 507 of the family's 1533-position model. The record is from RNAcentral.